Eriocheir sinensis (Chinese mitten crab) is the source of this 1682-nucleotide long non-coding RNA. RefSeq lists it as uncharacterized. The record is from RefSeq and is a predicted model, not a curated record. The transcript is spliced from 4 exons. Lineage: Eukaryota; Metazoa; Arthropoda; Malacostraca; Decapoda; Varunidae.
UUUUUAUAUUUAUUAUAUAGUUACUUUAAGUAACAAAAGUAAUGUUGGAGUAAAAACUGACUUAUUUUUCUGGUGGUAAGAUGGAGUCAGCUGACCCCCAAAAUGUGUCCCAUUUAGUUCCUAGGGGUAAAAUAAAAUAAAUUGUUCGUACAACAUUCAGAUUUCUACCAUAGGUAGAAUAAGUAGCUUAACUAAUAUUGACAUAUUAACUGACAUGAUUAAAGGGUGGUAAGUUAGUGUCAGCUGACCCCCAAAAUUUACAUCUCUUUGUUCCUAAGGAUAACAACAACAACAACAAAAACUGUUCCUACAACUUUCAGAUUUCUACCAUAGGUAGAAUAAAUAGUUAAACUGAUGCUGACAUUUAAACUCACUUGAUUUAAGGGUGGUAAGUUAGGGUCUGCUGACCCCCAAAUUUCCCCCUCUGGUUCGUAGGGGUAAUGAAAUAAAUGAUGUUCUUACAAUUUUCUGUUAACAAAUGCCUACCUAAGAACUUACUCUAAAAUCAGAUAUUUGUCAGGGCUGACCGGCCUUAAAUGGUACUCGGUUGUUUGAUGUUCUCCUAUCUACCAAACUCGUGUCUUGUGUUUCCGCUGAUCCGAGACGGCAGGUUACAAUGAGAGAAAAAAAUAAUCUGAAGCCAGGCUUCAUUCACAGAUUCAUUGUCUCAUUGCUAGUAUAAUAAUUCAUUGGGAGGUAUUGUGGGGAGUGUGCUGAACACGGCUCCUCAGUCUCGCCCUCUCCAGCCAUGUACAACGAACCAACUCUCGGAUUUCCCGUAUAGAACAUGUGUAUGAUUUCUUUGGAAAUCUAAAAACACGGUUUAUGACGAUGGAUGAGGGCGAUGUAAUAUCAGGAGGUGAUGAUUUGUCUGGUGAUCUCAGCACAGACAAGAUUGCAUCAAAUAGUCAAGACCAUCCAGCAAUCCAGUCACUGUCGUCAGGUCAGGAAAGCAAUGAAUUAUCAGACAAUCAAAACACUAAAUCUGCGCCUGAUGAAAUGCUGUGUUCCUUACACAUCAAGAGCAGUGAUAAGUAUCAAGAUUUUGGUAGUCAUUUGCUUCAAAGAUGACAAGUUGGCAAAAUGCAAGGAAAUAUUAAUGCUACGAAAACAAAAAAAACUUGAAAUAUGCUGACAUAUCCCUGCCAACUGUAGUAGACAGUAUCCAUGGUUAUCACCACGAGUGCUAUAGGAAAUUUACAGCAUUACCAAAGGCUCACAGAUCUGCAACCAAACCUUCGUGUCACAUGAGCCAAGAAAAUCCUUCAUGUCACAUGAGCCAAGAAGAACAAUCACUAAGCUUGAACGAAUCGGCAGCAACAUCGAAAGAGGGCACAUGUGAUUUCCAGCCGAUGUGCUUGUUUUGUGGAUCGGCUAGAAAAAAAAUUAAAAACGUGGAGCAAAAAUUAGUUUCAGCUGAGACAGCCCAGUUUGCUGCAAACAUUCAAGAAUAUGCUGAAAUGAAAGGGGAUGAAAAAUUGUUAACACAGAUAAGAGACCAGGAUUUUGUUGCAAAAGGAUUGAGGUACCACGCCAACUGUCGCUCACUGUACCAGAGUCAAGCAAGGGCAAUGUCCAAAAAUGGAAAUCAACCAAGGACAGGGUACAUAAGCAGAGAGAAAGAAGUUCAUAGAGAGGCUUUUGACUCAUUGAUAUCUUACAUUGAACAGAAUGUAAUUGAG